GGAAUAUUGGACAAUGGGCGAAAGCCUGAUCCAGCCAUGCCGCGUGUGUGAAGAAGGUCUUCGGAUUGUAAAGCACUUUAAGUUGGGAGGAAGGGCAGUUACCUAAUACGUGAUUGUUUUGACGUUACCGACAGAAUAAGCACCGGCUAACUACGUGCCAGCAGCCGCGGUAAUACGUAGGGUGCAAGCGUUAAUCGGAAUUACUGGGCGUAAAGCGUGCGCAGGCGGUUUUGUAAGUCUGUCGUGAAAGCCCCGGGCUCAACCUGGGAAUUGCGAUGGAGACUGCAAGGCUCGAAUCUGGCAGAGGGGGGUAGAAUUCCACGUGUAGCAGUGAAAUGCGUAGAGAUGUGGAGGAACACCGAUGGCGAAGGCAGCCCCCUGGGUCAAGAUUGACGCUCAUGCACGAAAGCUAGGGGAGCGAAUGGGAUUAGAUACCCUUG
This 440-nucleotide ribosomal RNA is filed under the name uncultured Rugamonas sp. RNAcentral describes it as "bacterial SSU rRNA". It matches the Rfam family "Bacterial small subunit ribosomal RNA", at positions 358 to 790 of the family's 1533-position model. The record is from RNAcentral. Lineage: Bacteria; Pseudomonadati; Pseudomonadota; Betaproteobacteria; Burkholderiales; Oxalobacteraceae.